Priapulus caudatus is the source of this 491-nucleotide long non-coding RNA. RefSeq lists it as uncharacterized. The record is from RefSeq and is a predicted model, not a curated record. Lineage: Eukaryota; Metazoa; Priapulida; Priapulimorpha; Priapulimorphida; Priapulidae. The transcript is spliced from 2 exons.
GGUUACCUCAAGGGCGUGGGGCACUGAUGGCGAUUAUGAAGGUUACCUCAAGGGCGUGGGGCACUGAUGGCGAUUAUGAAGGUUACCUCAAGGGCGUGGGGCACUGAUGGCGAUUAUGAAGGUUACCUCAUGGGCGAUCGUUACACCGUCUCGCGCGUGCACAUGUCGGCGCUAACACACUCGUUGUAGAGAUUGCUCACAGUUCAUCAGCAUCGUCUGCGUGCGAUAGGCCCGCACAGCUAACGUACUCUUCACAGGGGGUCUCCGUACGUACAAACAAUUAAUUAAUGCCGGGAUAAGAGCUGUUAUCUUUACGUUUUGCUCUUAUUUUCUUCUCUCUGGAUGGUAGGUAUUUAGUGUGUGUGUGUGUGUGUGUGUGCGUGUGCGUGUGUGUGUGUGCGUGUGUGUAUGUGCGUGUGUGUGUGCGUGCGUGUGUGCUGGAAGCGAGGUCCUGUUUAUUGAAUAAAGUGACUUGAUAAUGUGCAAAGUAA